GAUCCUGGCUCAGGGUGAACGCUAGCGGCAGGCUUAACACAUGCAAGUCGAGGGGCAGCACGAGGUAGCAAUACUUUGGUGGCGACCGGCGCACGGGUGCGUAACGCGUAUGCAACCUACCUUUAACAGGGGCAUAACACUGAGAAAUUGGUACUAAUUCCCCAUAACAUUCGAGAAGGCAUCUUCUUGGGUUAAAAACUCCGGUGGUUAAAGAUGGGCAUGCGUUGUAUUAGCUGGUUGGUGAGGUAACGGCU
This 254-nucleotide ribosomal RNA is filed under the name uncultured bacterium. Its description in RNAcentral is "partial 16S ribosomal RNA". It matches the Rfam family "Bacterial small subunit ribosomal RNA", at positions 15 to 265 of the family's 1533-position model. The record is from RNAcentral.